GCGCCCGUAGCUCAGCUGGAUAGAGCGUUGGCCUCCGGAGCCAAAGGUCGAAGGUUCGAAUCCUUUCGGGUGCACCA
RNAcentral lists this transfer RNA (77 nucleotides) under Vibrio sp. RNAcentral describes it as "tRNA-Arg". It matches the Rfam family "tRNA". Rfam says of the family: Transfer RNA (tRNA) molecules are approximately 80 nucleotides in length. Lineage: Bacteria; Pseudomonadati; Pseudomonadota; Gammaproteobacteria; Vibrionales; Vibrionaceae. The record is from RNAcentral. RNAcentral also lists the same sequence under 2 other names.